CCUACGGGAGGCAGCAGUAAGGAAUAUUGGUCAAUGGGCGCAAGCCUGAACCAGCCAUGCCGCGUGCAGGAAGACGGCCCUAUGGGUUGUAAACUGCUUUUGAACAAGAGAAAACCUCGGUACGUGUACCGAGCUGAUAGUAUUGUUAGAAUAAGCAUCGGCUAACUUCGUGCCAGCAGCCGCGGUAAGACGAAGGAUGCAAGCGUUAUCCGGAUUCAUUGGGUUUAAAGGGUGCGUAGGCGGCCUGAUAAGUCAGUGGUGAAAUCUCUCAGCUUAACUGAGAAACUGCCAUUGAUACUGUCGGGCUUGAGUACAGAUGAUGUGGGCGGAAUAUGACAUGUAGUGGUGAAAUACUUAGAUAUGUCAUAGAACACCGAUUGCGAAGGCAGCUCACAAAACUGUAACUGACGCUGAGGCACGAAAGUGCGGGGAUCAAACAGGAUUAGAUACCCUGGUAGUCCGCACCGUAAACGAUGAUUACUCGUUGUUGGCAAUAUGACCGUCAGCGACCAAGCGAAAGCGAUAAGUAAUCCACCUGGGGAGUACGCCGGCAACGGUGAAACUCAAAGGAUUAGACGG
Molecule: ribosomal RNA, 579 nt
Filed under: uncultured bacterium
Lineage: Bacteria
Description: bacterial SSU rRNA
Rfam family: Bacterial small subunit ribosomal RNA
Source: RNAcentral